GCUGGGGCUGUAAACCCAAAGCCACUGGACUCUGUAAACCUGCUGGGCAGCAGAGAGGCAGAAGGGGUGAUGAGCGAGAGGCGAGUGGUAGUGGACUUGCCUGCCAGUGCCACCUCCAACAUGCCCCUCCAGAGGCGCAGGCCAUCCUUGAGGGGGACUCGGUCAUCAUCCUCCCUGGAUAGCCCGCCAGCCUCCAGGACCAGUGCUGUGGCUGGCCUCGUUCGAGCACCUGGGGUCUAUGUAGGGACAGCACCCAGUGGGCCCGUAGGUGGCCUGGGUGCCCGUGUAACCCGCCGGGCCCUGGGCAUCAGCAGUGUCUUCCUGCAGGGCCUGAGGAGUUCAGGCCUGGCCAUGGUGCCUGCUCCAGGCUUGGAGAGGGACCAUACUGCUGUUGAGGACCUAGGGAACUGCCUGGUGGAAUAUAUGGCCAAGGUGCACGCCCUCGAGCAAGUCAGCCAGGAGCUGGAAACACAACUGCGGAUGCACCUGGAGAGCAAGGCCAUGCGCUCGGGAGGCUGGGGUGCCCUCCGGGCCUCCUGGGCCAGCAGCUGCCAACAGGUAAGUACCCAGGCCGUGCCCUGGCUUUGCAGAGGCCCGAAGGGGAUGCUGAAGGCAGAGGGUAGGGUAGUGAAUGGUCUGAGGCCAGGGAAACUGACCAUAACCUCUUACGCCUUCAUGCUAAAAAUGCUAAUGACAACCACAGUGGUCACCUUUUACUGA
Molecule: RNA transcript, 720 nt
Organism: Galeopterus variegatus (Sunda flying lemur)
Lineage: Eukaryota; Metazoa; Chordata; Mammalia; Dermoptera; Cynocephalidae
Gene name: phakinin pseudogene
Exons: 1
Source: RefSeq, a predicted model, not a curated record